GGAUAGCUCAGUCAGUAAAGCAUGAGAUUCUAAAUCUCAGGGUUUUAAGUUCAAGCCCCAUGUUGGACA
Molecule: non-coding RNA, 69 nt
Organism: Podarcis lilfordi (Lilford's wall lizard)
Lineage: Eukaryota; Metazoa; Chordata; Lepidosauria; Squamata; Lacertidae
Source: the annotation of a GenBank genome assembly